This 87-nucleotide microRNA precursor is filed under the name Petromyzon marinus (sea lamprey). RNAcentral's name for it is "microRNA pma-mir-4611 precursor". Lineage: Eukaryota; Metazoa; Chordata; Hyperoartia; Petromyzontiformes; Petromyzontidae. The record is from miRBase by way of RNAcentral.
GAGUGCGGUGUUUUUUUUUCCGGUACUUCCCCCGGGAGUAGCCGAGGGCGCGUGGGGGGAGGGUCCAGAAGGUGGAGCACCGUGAGG